GAGGAUGUAGCUCAGUUGGUAGAGUGCUUGCUUGGCAUGCAAGAAGCCCUGAGUUCAAUCCUCAUUAUCA
This 70-nucleotide transfer RNA is filed under the name Mus musculus (house mouse). It matches the Rfam family "tRNA". From Rfam's summary of the family: Transfer RNA (tRNA) molecules are approximately 80 nucleotides in length. Their secondary structure includes four short double-helical elements and three loops (D, anti-codon, and T loops). The record is from Rfam by way of RNAcentral. Lineage: Eukaryota; Metazoa; Chordata; Mammalia; Rodentia; Muridae.